GACGAACGCUGGCGGCGUGCUUAACACAUGCAAGUCGAACGGAGAGGCCCUUCGGGGUACUCGAGUGGCGAACGGGUGAGUAACACGUGGGUGAUCUGCCCUGCACUUUGGGAUAAGCCUGGGAAACUGGGUCUAAUACCGAAUAGGACCACGCGCUUCAUGGUGUGUGGUGGAAAGCUUUUGCGGUGUGGGAUGGGCCCGCGGCCUAUCAGCUUGUUGGUGGGGUAAUGGCCUACCAAGGCGACGACGGGUAGCCGGCCUGAGAGGGUGACCGGCCACACUGGGACUGAGAUACGGCCCAGACUCCUACGGGAGGCAGCAGUGGGGAAUAUUGCACAAUGGGCGCAAGCCUGAUGCAGCGACGCCGCGUGAGGGAUGACGGCCUUCGGGUUGUAAACCUCUGUCAAUAGGGACGAAGCGCAAGUGACGGUACCUAUAGAAGAAGCACCGGCCAACUACGUG
This 462-nucleotide ribosomal RNA is filed under the name uncultured bacterium. Its description in RNAcentral is "partial 16S ribosomal RNA". It matches the Rfam family "Bacterial small subunit ribosomal RNA", at positions 28 to 507 of the family's 1533-position model. The record is from RNAcentral.